This 392-nucleotide ribosomal RNA is filed under the name uncultured bacterium. Its description in RNAcentral is "bacterial SSU rRNA". It matches the Rfam family "Bacterial small subunit ribosomal RNA", at positions 26 to 423 of the family's 1533-position model. The record is from RNAcentral.
AGAUUGAACGCUGGCGGAAUGCUUUACACAUGCAAGUCGAGCGGCAGCGCGGGGCAACCUGGCGGCGAGCGGCGAACGGGUGAGUAAUGCAUCGGAACAUGUCCAUGUCGUGGGGGAUAGCCCGGCGAAAGCCGGAUUAAUACCGCAUACGCCCGAGAGGGGAAAGUGGGGGACCGCAAGGCCUCACGCGAUUGGGUUGGCCGAUGUCCGAUUAGCUAGUUGGCGGGGUAAGAGCCCACCAAGGCGAUGAUCGGUAGCUGGUCUGAGAGGAUGAUCAGCCACACUGGGACUGAGACACGGCCCAGACUCCUACGGGAGGCAGCAGUGGGGAAUUUUGGACAAUGGGGGCAACCCUGAUCCAGCCAUUCCGCGUGAGUGAAGAAGGCCUCGGU